GUCACUGGGAGCGUUAUCCACAUUGAAGGUGAAAGGAGAGGAAACCAACAGCAUGUCAUUUUCCAACACUUUGAAAUCCUCUAAACAACGAGAGAACUCACAGUUGAAAGCACGCAGCAGCGAUGUAUACUUCUCCCGCUGGGCAUCUGAUAGGGAACAGACAAGUAGUGUUGGAAGGUGGGUGAGAUUGUUCUCAUCUGAUAGGGAACAGACUAGUAGUGUUGGAAGGUGGGUGAGAUUGUUCUCAUCUGAUAGGGAACAGACUAGUAGUGUGGGAAGGUGGGUGAGAUUGUUGUCAUCUGAUAGGGAACAGACUAGUAGUGUGGGAAGGUGGGUGAGAUUGUUCUCAUCUGAUAGGGAACAGACUAGUAGUGUGGGAAGGUGGGUGAGAUUGUUGGCUUCUACUUGUCGGGUCAGCAGGAGUAAAGGCUUUGACAAGGCUGUACAUCUGAUGUGCAAAAAGGCCCUUCCCUUGUAGUUUGGAAUUCAGUUCAUUCAUGAGGGCCAUGAUGUCCACGGUGAAGGCAAAAUCAGCCAACCAUUCUUUAUUUUGCAGUUGAAGGAAAUCCACAUAUUUUCCUUUCAUUUGCAAAAACUCAGCAAUCUCCGACUUCAGGUCCCACACCCUUUCAAGCACCUUCCCCAAACUCAGCCAUCUCACGUUCAUGUGGUAGGGGAGAUCUGCAUGACCCGACUCUGUCUCUUCCAACAGUGAGACAAACUGCCUGUGGUUUAAAGAUUUUUCUCUUAUGAAGUUAACCACUUUAGUGAAUGUAUCCACAACACGGCUCAUUUUCAGAACACAUUUACAGAGCACCUCCUGAUGAAUAAUGCAAUGCAGGAGAAAAAAAAUUCUGAUCUGUGUUAAGCCCAGCUACUUGAUCUUGUAUCCUUUUCAAAAGGCCAAUGUUUUUUUCCUGUCAAGUUUGGGCACCCAUCGUUGGUCACACCGGAUAACCUUUCAAAACUCAGUCCCAGCUUUGCCACACACUUAUUAACCUCCUCCAAUAAAUCUUUCCCUGUGGUUGUGCUCUUCAUUGACUGCACUGAAGCUCCUCUGUAAUUUCAAAGUCUGGGGUUAUGGUGGGGUUCAUGGGGAUCUGGGGUUCAUGGGGUUCAGGGGUUUUGCCUCGUAAGAAUAUCAACAACUGCGCCGUGUCACGUGCAUCACUGCUCUCAUCCAGGGCCAAGGUGAAAUAGGUGAAAUCCUUUACCUUGUCGUUCAACUGUUGUUCCAUGUUCUCUGCAAUGUCCUCAACACGCCGUGUUACUGUUCGUCUUGACAGGGAAACAUUUUCAAACAGCUCUUUCUUGUCGGGGCAAAGUAUUGCUUCAGAUUCAAUUAAACAUUCUUUAAUGAAUUCGCCCUCAGUGAAUGGCUUGCUAUGUUUUGCAAUUUUGUGGGACAGUACAUAGCUAGCUCUCGCAAUUUCGUAGUUUGCUGAAUGCAGUUUUGUGAAAAGUCCUUGCUGCUUUUGCAACUGAGAACUCUUUCGAUGCACUUGCCCUCUGCCUCAGAAGACAUAUUCCUGCAUGCUUCGUCUGGAAGUGUCGGGACAAGUUGUAGUCUUUCAAGACAGCGAUCCUCUCUUUGCACACUAAGCACACAGCUUUCCCUGAUACCUCAAUAAAUAAAUAUUUCAAUGUCCACUCAUGCUGGAACACCCUACAUUCAUUGUCUACUUUCCUUUUCUUUGAAAUCUUUGAAAAACUAAAUUUUGCGCAAUUUCUUGCUAGCUACUAUUUGUAACUGUGAUGUGUGUGUCAGCCUGUCAGUCCUCGUGUAGUUGUUUUAUUUUUAUGUUCCUUCAAAAUAAAUUUCCCACAAGCGGUGGGAGUUAAGUCAUUACACAAAGGCGAGUAUUCAUUGGGCUUUUAUUUGAAUAACAAAUACGUUUUUCAAAACUUUACUAAUCGCAAAUUAUUUGUGAUCUGAUCGGAGCAUUAUUCCGCGGGCCAUAUCGAAUCAGGUCGCGGGCCACAUAUGGCCCCUGCGCUGGCUUUUGCCCAGGCCUGCUUUACCCAGUAUUUUUUGAAGCACCUUUGGCAGCGGUUACAGCCUUGAUUCUUCUUCGGUAUGACGCUACAAGCUUGGCCCACCUGUAUUUGGGGAAUUUCUCCCAUUCUUCUCUGCAGAUCCUCUCAAGCUCUGUCAGGUUGAAUGGGGAGCUUCUCUGCACAACUAUUUUCUGGUCUCUACAGAGAUGUUAGAUCAGGUUAAAAUCCGGGGUCUGGAUGGGCCAUUCAAGGACAUUCAGAGACCUGUCCCGAAGCCACUCCUGCAUUGUCUUGGCUGUGUGCUUAGGUUCCGUCCCGUUGGAAGGUGAACCUUCACCCCAGUGUGAGGUCCUGAGUGCUCUGGAGCAGGUUUUCAUCAAGGAUCUCUCUGUACUUUGCUCCGUUCAUCAUUCCCUCGAUCCUGACUAGUCUCCCAGUCCCUGCCGCUGAAAAACAUCCCCACAGCAUGAUGCUGCCACCACCAUGCUUUACCGUAGGGAUGGUGCCAGGUUUCCUUCAGAGUUGACGCUUGGCAUUCAGGCUAAAGUGUUAAAGCUUGAAUUCAUCAGACCAGAAAAUCUUGUUUCUCAUGGUCUGAGUCCUUUAGGUGCCUUUUGGCAAACUCCAAGCGGGCUGUCAUGUGCCUUUUACUGAGGAGUGGCUUCAGUCUGGCCACUCUACCAUCGAGGCCUGAUUGGUGGAGUGCUGUAGAGAUGGUUGUCCUUCUGGAAUGUUCUCCCAUAUCCACAGAGGAACUCUGGAGCUCUGUCAGAGUGACCAUCGGGUUCUUGGUCACCUCUCUGACCAAGGCGCUUCUUCCACAAUUGCUCAGUUUGGCGGUGCGGCCAGUUCUAGGAGUAGUCUGGUGGUUCCAAACUUCUUCCAUUUAAGAAUGAUGUAGGCCACUGUGUUCUUGGGGACCUUCAAUGCUGCAGAACAUAUUUUUUUUGUACCCUUCCCCAGAUCUGUGCCUCGACACAAUCCUGUCUCGGAGCUUUACGGACAAUUCCUUCGACCUCAUGGCUUGGUUUUUGCUCUGACAUGCACUGUCAACUGUGGGACCGUAUAUAGACAGGUGUGUGCCUUUCCAAAUCAUGUCCAAUCUAUUGAAUUUACCACAGGUGCACUCCAAUCAAGUUGUAGAAACAUCCCAAGGAUGAUCAAUGGAAACAGGAUGCACCUGAGGUCAAUUUCAAGUCUCAUAGCAAAGGGUCUGAAUACUUAUCUAAACAAGGUAUUAUUUUUUUUAUACAUUUGCAAAAAAAAUCUAAAAACCUGUCCAUGCUCCAUUGCCCAUAGUUCUAGUACAAUGAACAGCCAUGUCACAGUGGCUGAACGCACUGCGUACAGGGACAUGAUCUAAAACUAAUCUGAUAACAUGUAAUCCAUUUAUAAUGCUACUUACUGCUAUAGACAUGCUAAUGCAGGAGAUAUAACCCACAGUAAUGCAGGAGAUAUAGCCCACAGUAAUGCAGGAGAUAUAAUCUUCUCCUUUCCCC
This 3497-nucleotide long non-coding RNA is filed under the name Salmo salar (Atlantic salmon). RNAcentral's name for it is "lncRNA (ENSSSAG00000086875.1)". The record is from RNAcentral. Lineage: Eukaryota; Metazoa; Chordata; Actinopteri; Salmoniformes; Salmonidae.